This 1084-nucleotide long non-coding RNA is filed under the name Apteryx haastii (Great spotted kiwi). Its description in RNAcentral is "lncRNA (ENSAHAG00000003840.1)". The record is from RNAcentral. Lineage: Eukaryota; Metazoa; Chordata; Aves; Apterygiformes; Apterygidae.
AGCAGGGAAUGGGGCUAACAGAGCAGGGAACAGGGUAAUGUGGGUAACAGGGUGARGGUAUGGGGUAAUGGGGAGUAACAAGGGGUAAGAGGGGUGCAGGGGGACAUGUUACCCCCAUCACCCCGUUACCUCUGUUACCCCGUUAUUCCUCUCUUGCACCCACUUAUUUUUCUUUCACCCGUUACUCCCCAUUACCCCRUGUUUUCUCUCCAUUGCCCCACAUCCAAUACCCCUGGCCCCCCUCACCCUGGCCUGUUACCCCUUUUACCACUCUGUUACUCCAUAUUACUCCCAUUACUGUCUUCUACCCCAUGUUAUCCACUACCCCACAUCCCUAUUACCUUGUGUUACUCUCUAAUACCCCGCAUUGCUGCUCAUUGCCCUGUUGCUCUCCCUUGUCCCCGUUACAUGUCACUCUUUGUUACUCCUAUUACCCUAUUACUGCUCAUUACUCCAUGUUACUCCCCAUUGCCCCAUAUUGCUUCUCAUUACUGCUUGUUACUCCCCCUUACUCUAAUGCUCCCCAUUAUCCCUGUUGCACGUUACGCUCUGGUGCCCCGUGUUACUCCCUGUUACUUGGGUGCUCCCCCUUGUUCCCGGUUACCCCAUGUUACUUGUUUCUCCCUGUUACCCCAUGCUGCUCCAUCUCUAUUACCCUGUGUUACUCCACCCCACCCCAUGUUAUGCCCAUGUUACUCUGCAUUGCACCCCCAUUGCUGUGUGUUACUCCCCGUUACCCUCCCAUUGCUCUGCAUUACUCCCCGUUACUCUGACGCUCUCCCUCGUUCCUGGAUCCCUCGUGUUCCUCCCUGGUACUCCCCACUAUCCUGGCGCUCUCCCUCGCUGCCCAUCACCCCGCGUUACUCCCCGUUACUCGCCGUUACUCGCCGGGGCGCAGGCGGUGGUGGACGCGGCGCUGGUGCUGCGGGAGACGCAGCUCCGGGGGGGCCCCUCGCUGCCCCUGGCGCUGGUGGCGGCCGGGCAGGGCCUCUACGUGCUGCAGCGCCUGCGCCACGAGGUGCCCGGACGCCGGGGCCCACGGNNNNNNNNNNNNNNNNNNNNNNNNNNNNNNNNNNNNNNNNNN